UAAGGUCACGGCGAGACGAGCCGUUUAUCAUUACGAUAGGUGUCAAGUGGAAGUGCAGUGAUGUAUACAGCUGAGGCAUCCUAACAGACCGAGAGAUUUGAAC
Molecule: ribosomal RNA, 103 nt
Filed under: Halopegia azurea
Lineage: Eukaryota; Viridiplantae; Streptophyta; Magnoliopsida; Zingiberales; Marantaceae
Description: 4.5S ribosomal RNA
Source: RNAcentral